This 326-nucleotide long non-coding RNA is filed under the name Gossypium barbadense (sea-island cotton). Its description in RNAcentral is "long non-coding RNA (GBAR_LNC006116)". The record is from RNAcentral. Lineage: Eukaryota; Viridiplantae; Streptophyta; Magnoliopsida; Malvales; Malvaceae.
AGAAAUCUGAUUUGGUAAUUGUGGUCUAAAUUAAAGGCAAAAAAAGGAAAAAGAAAAGACCUCAUGUAGUGGUCUAACUAAUCUUUAGCUUAUGUAAACAAAAAGCAAUAAUGCAAACAAAAUGGGUAUCAAAAUCAUUCCAAUCCAAAACACAAGUUAAAAGGAUAUGUUGCAUCAUAUCAUUGUCCUGUUUUCUCUUCUAUAGAACACACCUUUUUUUGGUUGAAACAACAAACCUUUCCUUGCUCACCUCCCAAACCACAUGGGAAUUUUCAUUGAUUGGUAUACCUAUAAAUGGAGAGUUCCAUUACGUUGCCCAACCAUGG